CCUACGGGGGGCUGCAGUGGGGAAUAUUGGACAAUGGGCGCAAGCCUGAUCCAGCAAUACCGCGUGUGUGAAGAAGGCCUUAGGGUUGUAAAGCACUUUCAAUGGGGAGGAAAACCUACCGGUCAAUACCCGGUAGCUUGACCUUACCUGUAGAAGAAGCACCGGCUACCUCCGUGCCAGCAGCCGCGGUAAUACGGAGGGUACAAGCGGUGAUCGGAGUUACUGGGGGUAAAGCGUGCAGAGAGAUUUGAAAGCCCCGGGCUUAACCUGGGAACUGCAUUUGAAACUGGCGGACUAGAGUUGAGUAGAGGGGAGUGGAAUUUCAGGUGUAGCGGUGAAAUGCGUAGAUAUCUGAAGGAACACCAGUGGCGAAGGCGACUCCCUGGACUCAAACUGACGCUGAGGUACGAAAGCGUGGGUAGCAAACAGGAUUAGAUACCCGUGUAGUC
Molecule: ribosomal RNA, 449 nt
Filed under: uncultured bacterium
Lineage: Bacteria
Description: partial 16S ribosomal RNA
Rfam family: Bacterial small subunit ribosomal RNA
Source: RNAcentral